AUAGCCUACUGAGAUCAGAGAUAGUUUCCUGCACUGAAAUUAAAGAAUGCAGAAAUUUCAGAUUGUCUUGUAUGUGAGCCCAUCCCAUAUCAGUGUAGUGGGUGGUACAUUGUAUUAUCAUAAACAAGAAUUUUCUAGCAUGACAAGAUACUACAGAGAAUAUAUAUUGUCACGUUCAAAUGUCUGGUAGAGGAGCAAUCAUACUGGUGAUGAUUAAAAGUGCGUAGAGGUAGAGCACAUGCCACGAUGUUAAUGGGGAAAAAUGUUGCUCGAUGGCAAGCCCUUUGUAUUGGAAAUUUAGGCAGCCAGUCAUAUUUUCUCUUUUUAUUUUUUGGCAUGCUUCGUUGCAGGCAUACGGCAGCAUUCCCCUCAGUUACUUCCUUCGAAAUGUUGAAGCUAAGCUAACUGCAAUUACGUAGAAUCUGCAUAAAUAAAAUAUUGCAGAAUUGUAGAAUUCAUUGCUUUCAUGAAACAUGAUUUCCAUUCUUCUGCUGCCGUGAAAAUGGAAGACUUUGCGAACCACGCGCUAAUUCUUCCUUUGUUCUUUUACUCGGAACAGACUGUAGCAAUCGAGGGGAGUUGGCACGCUUCUGUUGUUGCUGAUUGACAAAAUUAGACGAAGUUAUUGCAGGUUCAACUUCAGUAUCCUCAGGAGUACAUUCUUUAGGCAAUCCAUCUUCUGGCACGACGUCACUUGUUCCAGGAUUGACAAUGUCCCAUAGAAAUCCAUUCUCAUUCCCAAGGGAAAGCUUAUCGAAAUCAUGGUCUACAGCUCCAGAAUGAGGUGCGACAUAUGCAACAUAUUUUUCUGCCAAGCUGUGAAGGGCAUUCUCAGCAGCUUGCUGAUGUGCAUCCUUCCUGGUCUUACCCAUUCCAACACCAAUCUUUUCACCAGUGAACAAAACCUCAACAGAAAAUUG
RNAcentral lists this unclassified non-coding RNA (920 nucleotides) under Hevea brasiliensis (rubber tree). Lineage: Eukaryota; Viridiplantae; Streptophyta; Magnoliopsida; Malpighiales; Euphorbiaceae. The record is from RNAcentral.